GAGGAAUAUUGGUCAAUGGGUGCAAGCCUGAACCAGCCAUCCCGCGUGAAGGACGACUGCCCUAUGGGUUGUAAACUUCUUUUGUAUAGGGAUAAACCUACCCUCGUGAGGGUAGCUGAAGGUACCAGAUGAAUAAGCACCGGCUAACUCCGUGCCAGCAGCCGCGGUAAUACGGAGGGUGCAAGCGUUAUCCGGAUUCACUGGGUUUAAAGGGUGCGUAGGCGGGCAGGUAAGUCAGUGGUGAAAUCCUGGAGCUUAACUCCAGAACUGCCAUUGAUACUAUCUGUCUUGAAUAUUGUGGAGGUAAGCGGAAUAUGUCAUGUAGCGGUGAAAUGCUUAGAUAUGACAUAGAACACCUAUUGCGAAGGCAGCUUACUACGCAUAUAUUGACGCUGAGGCACGAAAGCGUGGGGAUCAAACA
RNAcentral lists this ribosomal RNA (421 nucleotides) under uncultured Sediminibacterium sp. RNAcentral's name for it is "bacterial SSU rRNA". It matches the Rfam family "Bacterial small subunit ribosomal RNA", at positions 356 to 774 of the family's 1533-position model. The record is from RNAcentral. Lineage: Bacteria; Pseudomonadati; Bacteroidota; Chitinophagia; Chitinophagales; Chitinophagaceae.